AUUGAACGCUGGCGGAAUGCUUUACACAUGCAAGUCGAACGGCAGCACGGGGGCAGUCCUGGUGGCGAGUGGCGAACGGGUGAGUAAUACAUCGGAACGUGCCCGGUCGUGGGGGAUAACGUAGCGAAAGUUACGCUAAUACCGCAUACGAUCUGAGGAUGAAAGCGGGGGACCUUCGGGCCUCGCGCGAUCGGAGCGGCCGAUGUCAGAUUAGGUAGUUGGUGGGGUAAAGGCCUACCAAGCCGACGAUCUGUAGCUGGUCUGAGAGGACGACCAGCCACACUGGGACUGAGACACGGCCCAGACUCCUACGGGAGGCAGCAGUGGGGAAUUUUGGACAAUGGGCGCAAGCCUGAUCCAGCCAUUCCGCGUGCAGGACGAAGGCCUUCGGGUUGUAAACUGCUUUUGUACGGAACGAAAAGGCUCUGGCUAAGACCUGGGGCUCAUGACGGUACCGUAAGAAUAAGCACCGGCUAACUACGU
This 483-nucleotide ribosomal RNA is filed under the name uncultured bacterium. RNAcentral describes it as "partial 16S ribosomal RNA". It matches the Rfam family "Bacterial small subunit ribosomal RNA", at positions 30 to 506 of the family's 1533-position model. The record is from RNAcentral.